GAUGAACGCUGGCGGCGUGCCUAAUACAUGCAAGUCGAGCGAACAGACGAGGAGCUUGCUCCUCUGACGUUAGCGGCGGACGGGUGAGUAACACGUGGAUAACCUACCUAUAAGACUGGGAUAACUUCGGGAAACCGGAGCUAAUACCGGAUAAUAUAUUGAACCGCAUGGUUCAAUAGUGAAAGACGGUUUUGCUGUCACUUAUAGAUGGAUCCGCGCCGCAUUAGCUAGUUGGUAAGGUAACGGCUUACCAAGGCAACGAUGCGUAGCCGACCUGAGAGGGUGAUCGGCCACACUGGAACUGAGUCACGGUCCAGACUCCUACGGGAGGCAGCAGUAGGGAAUCUUCCGCAAUGGGCGAAAGCUUGACGGAGCAACGCCGCGCGAGUGAUGAAGGUCUUCGGAUCGUAAAACUCUGUUAUUAGGGAAGAACAAAUGUGUAAGUAACUAUGCACGUCUUGACGGUACCUAAUCAGAAAGCCACGGCUAACUACGUG
This 497-nucleotide ribosomal RNA is filed under the name uncultured bacterium. RNAcentral's name for it is "partial 16S ribosomal RNA". It matches the Rfam family "Bacterial small subunit ribosomal RNA", at positions 28 to 507 of the family's 1533-position model. The record is from RNAcentral.